GAUGAACGCUGGCGGCGUGCCUAAUACAUGCAAGUCGAGCGAACGGACGAGAAGCUUGCUUCUCUGAUGUUAGCGGCGGACGGAUGAGUAACACGUGGAUAACCUACCUAUAAGACUGGGAUAACUUCGGGAAACCGGAGCUAAUACCGGAUAAUAUUUUGAACCGCAUGGUUCAAAAGUGAAAGACGGUCUUGCUGUCACUUAUAGAUGGAUCCGCGCUGCAUUAGCUAGUUGGUAAGGUAACGGCUUACCAAGGCAACGAUGCAUAGCCGACCUGAGAGGGUGAUCGGCCACACUGGAACUGAGACACGGUCCAGACUCCUACGGGAGGCAGCAGUAGGGAAUCUUCCGCAAUGGGCGAAAGCCUGACGGAGCAACGCCGCGUGAGUGAUGAAGGUCUUCGGAUCGUAAAACUCUGUUAUUAGAGAAGAACAUAUGUGUAAGUAACUGUGCACAUCUUGACGGUACCUAAUCAGAAAGCCACGGCUAACUACGUG
RNAcentral lists this ribosomal RNA (497 nucleotides) under uncultured bacterium. RNAcentral describes it as "partial 16S ribosomal RNA". It matches the Rfam family "Bacterial small subunit ribosomal RNA", at positions 28 to 507 of the family's 1533-position model. The record is from RNAcentral.